RNAcentral lists this ribosomal RNA (253 nucleotides) under uncultured bacterium. Its description in RNAcentral is "partial 16S ribosomal RNA". It matches the Rfam family "Bacterial small subunit ribosomal RNA", at positions 524 to 776 of the family's 1533-position model. The record is from RNAcentral.
UACGAAGGGUGCAAGCGUUACUCGGAAUUACUGGGCGUAAAGCGUGCGUAGGCGGUUUGUUAAGUCCGUUGUGAAAGCCCUGGGCUCAACCUGGGAAUUGCAGUGGAUACUGGCGAGCUAGAGUGCGGUAGAGGAUGGUGGAAUUCUCGGUGUAGAGGUGAAAUUCGUAGAUAUCGAGAGGAACACCGGUGGCGAAGGCGGCCAACUGGACGAAUACUGACGCUGAGACACGAAAGCGUGGGGAGCAAACAGG